RNAcentral lists this ribosomal RNA (861 nucleotides) under uncultured bacterium. RNAcentral describes it as "bacterial SSU rRNA". It matches the Rfam family "Bacterial small subunit ribosomal RNA", at positions 13 to 886 of the family's 1533-position model. The record is from RNAcentral.
UUGAUCCUGGCUCAGGACGAACGCUGGCGGCGUGCUUAACACAUGCAAGUCGAACGGUGACGAGCAGCUUGCUGCUCUGAUCAGUGGCGAACGGGUGAGUAACACGUGAGCAACCUACCCUUGACUCCGGGAUAACAGCUGGAAACAGCUGCUAAUACCGGAUACGACCUCGACCGACAUCUGUUGAGGUGGAAAGUUCUGGCGGUCAAGGAUGGGCUCGCGGCCUAUCAGCUAGUUGGUGAGGUAACGGCUCACCAAGGCUUCGACGGGUAGCCGGCCUGAGAGGGCGACCGGCCACACUGGGACUGAGAUACGGCCCAGACUCCUACGGGAGGCAGCAGUGGGGAAUAUUGCACAAUGGGCGAAAGCCUGAUGCAGCAACGCCGCGUGCGGGAUGACGGCCUUCGGGUUGUAAACCGCUUUCAGCUCCGACGAAGCGCAAGUGACGGUAGGAGCAGAAGAAGGACCGGCCAACUACGUGCCAGCAGCCGCGGUGAUACGUAGGGUCCGAGCGUUGUCCGGAAUUAUUGGGCGUAAAGGGCUUGUAGGCGGUUUGUCGCGUCGGAAGUGAAAACUCAGGGCUUAACCCUGAGCCUGCUUCCGAUACGGGCAAACUAGAGGAAUGCAGGGGAGAAUGGAAUUCCUGGUGGAGCGGUGGAAUGCGCAGAUAUCAGGAGGAACACCAGUGCGAAGGCGGUUCUCUGGGCAUUUCCUGACGCUGAGAAGCGAAAGCGUGGGGAGCAAACAGGCUUAGAUACCCUGGUAGUCCACGCCGUAAACGGUGGGCACUAGGUGUGGGACUCAUUCCACGAGUUCCGUGCCGUAGCUAACGCAUUAAGUGCCCCGCCUGGGGAGUACGGC